UACGGAGGAUCCGAGCGUUAUCCGGAUUUAUUGGGUUUAAAGGGAGCGUAGGUGGAUUGUUAAGUCAGCGGUAAAAUCGAGGGGCUCAACCCCUUUAAGCCGUUGAAACUGGUGAUCUUGAGUGGGCGAGAAGUAUGCGGAAUGCGUGGUGUAGCGGUGAAAUGCAUAGAUAUCGAGAGGAACACUCGUGGCGAAGGCGGGUUCCUGGACAUUAACUGACGCUGAGGCACGAAGGCCAGGGGAGCGAAAGGG
This 252-nucleotide ribosomal RNA is filed under the name uncultured bacterium. RNAcentral describes it as "partial 16S ribosomal RNA". It matches the Rfam family "Bacterial small subunit ribosomal RNA", at positions 524 to 776 of the family's 1533-position model. The record is from RNAcentral.